GAGUUUGAUCCUGGCUCAGGAUGAACGCUGGCGGCAUGCCUAAUACAUGCAAGUCGAACGGGAUAUCUUCGGAUAUCCAGUGGCGAACGGGUGAGUAACACGUAGGUAACCUGCCCAUGUGCCCGGGAUAACGCCUGGAAACGGGUGCUAAAACCGGAUAGGUAUCGCUUCUGCAUGGAAGAGAUAUUAAAGGAGCUGCAAGGCUCUGAACAUGGAUGGACCUGCGGUGCAUUAGCUGGUUGGUGAGGUAACGGCCCACCAAGGCGACGAUGCAUAGCCGGCCUGAGAGGGUGAACGGCCACAUUGGGACUGAGACACGGCCCAAACUCCUACGGGAGGCAGCAGUAGGGAAUUUUCGUCAAUGGGGGCAACCCUGAACGAGCAAUGCCGCGUGAGUGA
Molecule: ribosomal RNA, 399 nt
Filed under: uncultured bacterium
Lineage: Bacteria
Description: bacterial SSU rRNA
Rfam family: Bacterial small subunit ribosomal RNA
Source: RNAcentral